UGACAUGGUCUGUGUUGAUACAGAGGGACGUAUACAUGUACAUACAGUAAAUCGCCAUCUUUGUUCAUUUCAACCAUUGCCGUAAGUGACAUCAGAAUGGGAAGAUAGCAGUGGCUCAUUUCAUGUAUACCUGAAGACUCCUGCCCACCUCGACUCAAACCACCCAGAUGACCCAGGCAAGCUCAGAGGUGGAGUGAUAAGACGUCUCCACUAAUAAACAGGAGGUACUGGGUUUGAUCGAGUCCCACCUGAGUAUUUAACAGUAAGACUGGCCUAUUUUAAAACAAGUGCCCUUUUGUUAAACCAGAGUGCCCUUUUUGUUACCAGCAGCCUUUUACGAGUGCCUAGCUUUUUGGAAUUUCAUGCGACCGUCAGCAAUUGUGCUGCCCC
This is a long non-coding RNA of Patiria miniata (bat star), 390 nucleotides long. RefSeq lists it as uncharacterized. The transcript has 2 exons. The record is from RefSeq and is a predicted model, not a curated record. NCBI's taxonomy places the organism in Eukaryota, Metazoa, Echinodermata, Asteroidea, Valvatida, Asterinidae.